This is a ribosomal RNA of Marmota marmota marmota (Alpine marmot), 133 nucleotides long. The record is from Ensembl. NCBI's taxonomy places the organism in Eukaryota, Metazoa, Chordata, Mammalia, Rodentia, Sciuridae.
GUCCAUGACCAUACCACCCUGCACUCACUCUAUCUCAUCUGGUCUCAGAAGCUAAGCAGGGUUGGGCCUGGUCAAUAUUUGGAUGGGAGAAACUACCGGUGCUCAGAUACCAGUAAACAGGCAGUGGCGGGAC